This 247-nucleotide ribosomal RNA is filed under the name uncultured bacterium. RNAcentral's name for it is "partial 16S ribosomal RNA". It matches the Rfam family "Bacterial small subunit ribosomal RNA", at positions 523 to 769 of the family's 1533-position model. The record is from RNAcentral.
AUACGGAGGAUCCAAGUGUUAUCCGGAUUUAUUGGGUUUAAAGGGUGCGUAGGCGGACUUAUAAGUCAGCAGUGAAAGUUUGCAGCUUAACUGUAAAAUUGCCGUUGAAACUGUUAGUCUUGAGUGUAAAUGAGGUAGGCGGAAUGUGUUGUGUAGCGGUGAAAUGCUUAGAUAUAACACAGAACACCAAUUGCGAAGGCAGCUUACUGGGAUACAACUGACGCUGAGGCACGAAAGCGUGGGGAGC